RNAcentral lists this ribosomal RNA (373 nucleotides) under uncultured organism. RNAcentral describes it as "partial 16S ribosomal RNA". It matches the Rfam family "Bacterial small subunit ribosomal RNA", at positions 527 to 896 of the family's 1533-position model. The record is from RNAcentral.
GUAGGUGGCAAGCGUUGUCCGGAAUUAUUGGGCGUAAAGCGCGCGCAGGCGGUCCUUUAAGUCUGAUGUGAAAGCCCACGGCUCAACCGUGGAGGGUCAUUGGAAACUGGGGGACUUGAGUACAGAAGAGGAAAGCGGAAUUCCAAGUGUAGCGGUGAAAUGCGUAGAGAUUUGGAGGAACACCAGUGGCGAAGGCGGCUUUCUGGUCUGUAACUGACGCUGAGGCGCGAAAGCGUGGGGAGCAAACAGGGAUUAGAUACCCUGGUAGUCCACGCCGUAAAUGAUGAGUGCUAAGUGUUAGGGGGUUUCCGCCCCCUUAGUGCUGCAGCUAACGCAUUAAGCACUCCGCCUGGGGAGUACGGCCGCAAGGCUG